UACAGAGGGUGCUAGCGUUGUUCGGAAUGACUGGGCGUAAAGGGCGCGUAGGCGGUUUACCAAGUCAGAUGUGAAAGCCCCGGGCUUAACCUGGGAACUGCAUUUGAUACUGGUUGACUGGAGUACGAGAGAGGAAAGUGGAAUUCCUAGUGUAGAGGUGAAAUUCGUAGAUAUUAGGAGGAACACCAGAGGCGAAGGCGGCUUUCUGGCUCGUAACUGACGCUGAGGCGCGAAAGCGUGGGGAGCAAACAGG
This 253-nucleotide ribosomal RNA is filed under the name uncultured bacterium. RNAcentral's name for it is "partial 16S ribosomal RNA". It matches the Rfam family "Bacterial small subunit ribosomal RNA", at positions 524 to 776 of the family's 1533-position model. The record is from RNAcentral.